CUUCUGGUGAUGAGACCUUUGUCCAGUUCUGCUGCUGAACCCGAGCGAUGACAGUUUGGAGAUCUGAGGAGG
Camarhynchus parvulus is the source of this 72-nucleotide small nucleolar RNA. The record is from Ensembl. Lineage: Eukaryota; Metazoa; Chordata; Aves; Passeriformes; Thraupidae.